ACGGAAGGCGGCAGUGAGGAAUAUUGGUCAAUGGGCGGAAGCCUGAACCAGCCAUGUCGCGUGCAGGACUACGGCCCUACGGGUCUUAAACUGCUUUUGAUUGGGGAUAAAGUGGGGGACGCGUCCCCUAUUGCGGGUACCAAUCGAAUAAGGAUCGGCUAACUCCGUGCCAGCAGCCGCGGUAAUACGGAGGAUCCGAGCGUUAUCCGGAUUUAUUGGGUUUAAAGGGUGCGUAGGCGGGCUGUUAAGUCAGCGGUGAAACCCCCGGGCUCAACCCGGGGACUGCCAUUGAAACUGGCGGCCUAGAGUACGUUGGGAGUGCGCGGAAUGUGUGGUGUAGCGGUGAAAUGCAUAGAUAUCACACAGAACACCGAUCGCGAAGGCAGCGCACUACGCCGCAACUGACGCUGAGGCACGAAGGCGCGGGGAUCGAACAGGAUUAGAUACCCUGGUA
RNAcentral lists this ribosomal RNA (454 nucleotides) under uncultured Porphyromonadaceae bacterium. RNAcentral's name for it is "partial 16S ribosomal RNA". It matches the Rfam family "Bacterial small subunit ribosomal RNA", at positions 341 to 792 of the family's 1533-position model. The record is from RNAcentral. Lineage: Bacteria; Pseudomonadati; Bacteroidota; Bacteroidia; Bacteroidales; Porphyromonadaceae.